GAUCAAACAGGAUUAGAUACCCUGUAGUCCACGCCGUAAACGAUGAGUGCUAAGUGUUAGGGGGUUUCCGCCCCUUAGUGCUGAGCUAACGCAUUAAGCACUCCGCCUGGGGAGUACGACCGCAAGGUUGAAACUCAAAGGAAUGACGGGGACCCGCACAAGCGGUGGAGCAUGUGGUUUAAUUCGAAGCAACGCGAAGAACCUACCAAAUCUUGACAUCCUUUGACCGCUCUAGAGAUAGAGUUUUCCCCUUCGGGGGACAAGUGACAGGUGGUGCAUGGUUGUCGUCAGCUCGUGUCGUGAGAUGUUGGGUUAAGUCCCGCACGAGCGCAACCCUUAAACUUAGUUGCCAGCAUUCAGUUGGGCACUCUAAGUUGACUGCCGUGACAAACCGGAGGAAGGUGGGGAUGACGUCAAAUCAUCAUGCCCCUUAUGAUUUGGGCACACACGUGCUACAAUGGACAAUACAAAGGGCAGCGAAACCGCGAGGUCAAGCAAAUCCCUAAAGUUGUUCUCAGUUCGGAUUGUAGUCUGCAACUCGACUACAUGAAGCUGGAAUCGCUGUAAUCGUAGAUCAGCAUGCUACGGUGAAUACGUUCCCGGGUCUUGCACACACCGCCCGU
RNAcentral lists this ribosomal RNA (623 nucleotides) under uncultured Staphylococcus sp. RNAcentral's name for it is "bacterial SSU rRNA". It matches the Rfam family "Bacterial small subunit ribosomal RNA", at positions 766 to 1397 of the family's 1533-position model. The record is from RNAcentral. Lineage: Bacteria; Bacillati; Bacillota; Bacilli; Caryophanales; Staphylococcaceae.